RNA transcript from Ricinus communis (castor bean), 1955 nucleotides. It is a transcript of the gene named phosphopantothenate--cysteine ligase 2, with no coding region annotated. The transcript has 12 exons. The record is from RefSeq and is a predicted model, not a curated record. Lineage: Eukaryota; Viridiplantae; Streptophyta; Magnoliopsida; Malpighiales; Euphorbiaceae.
GCAGUAAUGCGCUUCUAUCUUGUUGUAUAGCAUGCACUGUACAUACCAGUAGUUUUGUAGUGAAUAAUUAUUUAUAUUAACUGCAUUAUUCAUCUAUGGAGUUGCUUUCUCUUUUCCAUUCAUGGUUUGUGUGGUGAUGGCAGGAGUAGGAGGAUCGGACAGUGGCGGUGGAUAUGGCUAUUUUCUUUCAAUAAACUUUCUUUAGAAAUAAGAAUAAUAACUCUUAUCUUAAGAGAGAAAAAUUGUCGCGCUCUUUGGAGCUGAUAAAAUGGGGUGAACUGAGCCAGGAAUGAUAAGUUCAGUGUUAAAAUGGCCCAGAAAAAAAAUCAAAAGGUUUCAUAUGACCUUUACCAACAAGGGUAUUGAAAUGGAUUCAUCAAAUGUGUCAGUGAUUGGUGCUCCACAAACUAAUCUGGAUGCUGAAAUCAAUUCUUUUUUUGAUUCGGCUCCUCCUUUAAGAGACAGCGCUAGUAUUGCCAAGAAAUUGAAGGAAUUCAUUGAAUUCAAUUCUUCACCACCAGGAAAUGGAAGGAUUGUGUGUGUGACAUCUGGCGGUACUACAGUUCCCUUGGAACAACGUUGUGUUCGUUACAUUGAUAAUUUCAGUUCAGGUCAUAGAGGAGCCACAUCCACCGAGUAUUUUAUCAAGGCGGGAUAUGCAGUGAUAUUUUUGUAUAGGAGGGGAACUUGCCAGCCAUAUUGCCAAUCUCUUCCUGAGGAUCCACUGCUUGAGUGUUUUGACUCCAUUAAUGGCUCCGAUAUCCAAGUGCGGCAAUCAUAUUUUGAAGCAGUGAAGAGAGCCAUUAAUGAUCAUCAUGCUGCUGUAAGAGGAGGUCACCUGUUAAAACUCCCUUUUACAACCAUAUUUGAAUAUCUUCAGAUUUUACAAAUGAUUGCAAUGUCAAUGAAGAAUCUUGGUCCACAUACUAUGUUUUAUCUUGCUGCUGCAGUGUCCGACUUUUAUGUCCCUUGGAAGGAUAUGGCAGAGCACAAGAUUCAAUCAGCAUCUGGCCCUUUGGACAUGCGACUUGUGCAAGUGCCUAAGAUGCUCUCAGUGUUCAGAAAAGAAUGGGCUCCCAUGGCCUUCUGCAUAUCAUUCAAGCUGGAGACGGAUUCAAAGAUUCUUCUAGAGAAAGCUGAUAUGGCUCUUAAAAAGUACAAGAUGCAUGUGGUGAUUGCGAAUGAGCUAUUGACUCGCAAAGAGGAGGUUAUAGUUGUGACAGCUGAACAAAAGAUUCCAGUGCACCGUGACAAGACUCAGCCUGAUUCUGAUGUGGAAAAGCCCCUGGUUGAGCUCCUUGUGGAGAAGCAUUCAGCUUACAUUACGGAUUCUGACAUGUGAUUUUACUGAUUAACAGCAUCAUAUAGUUCAUUCUUCCACAUUCCGUCCGUUGUCUAGCCCUUUUAAGGUUCUCGGGAGGACAAGCAUCAAAAUUGUGACAUCUUGCUAACGAGGCUGCUUGCUGGCUAUAAAUGGCGAUUCUCAUUAAUUCCUUGACAAGGUUUCAUCUUCAUCUGUAUCCAGCUCGAGACCUUCUGCAGCCAAAAGCUGACUGAUAGCCUUUUUCUUCUCUUCCUCUGCUUUUUUCCGCAUCAAGUCCCUUUUCUUUAAGACAAGUGUAUGCCGCCUCAGGGUACUGUUCAAGUACUCCAUAGAUGCCUUUUUCUCUCUUGCCAGGAUUCUUCUCUCUUCUUCAGGGUCAACCUAUGAUUCCAAUGAAAGAAAAUUUAGAUCUAUCAAGUGAGAGCUAUACCAUAGAGGUUCAAUGCUCCACUUGUUUCAGCCAAAUGGAAUCGGAAAGAAGCACUAUAAGGUUCUUAAUAGCAGAUAUGCUUUGUAAUAAUUGUGGUAAUGGCAAUAACAAUAUAAGAAGAUCCCAUUCAGAUUGACAAAUGUUGCUGCUAGAAAAAAGUAUACUUUUAUGUGCAAUUAGAUGUCCCUGUUUACUAUGAAA